AUUAGGGGUUUACUUUAUGAUGUAAUCUUAUUCUCUCCCAAAAAUAUAUAUAAUAAAUAUUAUAUAAAACUAAAAUAAAAAAAUGAAACAAAAAUUAAUAUAAAAAUUGAGAACUGCUACCCUUUGGCUUCUCAACUACGCCUUUGCGUUCAUGCCCCCUCUCACUCCCUCCUUCCGAUUGUUUUAUUUUUCUUCCUCUCCCCUCCCCACUUCUUUGACUAACACAAGGCCGGCGAACGCCCGUCUCCUACCAUCCAUCUCCCGCAUAAAACCGCCCUCUCUCUCUCUCUCCCUCAUUUCUCCUGCGCCCACGCUUUUUCCUCUCCUUUCGUCGCACUUCCAUUUCUCGCAAUUGAGAUCAAGAUGUAUAUCGGCGGCGGCGGCGGCAUGAGUCCGUCGUCUAUCGUGGUAUCCGCUGCGUGCGGCGUGGCGAUAUUGCGGAUCGUUCUAUCUCUAAAAUCUCUUAUUUAUCUGCUGGGACGGUGGUGGCGGUGGCUGGACGAGCGUGCGCAGGUCUACCAAUACUUCGAGAUACCCAAGUACAUAAAAGAAGGCGGCGGUAGCGGCAGGCAGGAGGAGGAGGAGAACCCGCUGUACCGGAAGGCGGCCGCGUACGUGGCGUCGCUGCCGUCCCUCGAAGACGCCGACGCGGCGGCGAUCUCCUCGUCGGCGCGCAAGCCCAACGACUUCGCCCUCCACCUCGCCCCGCGCCACUCCGCCCACGACUCCUAUCUCGGCGCCCGCCUCUCCUGGUCCGACGCCGGCGCCGGCGCCGGCGCGCUCGUCCUGCGCGUGCGGCGGCAGGACCGGACGCGGGUGCUCCGGCCCUACCUGCAGCACGUCGAGUCCGUGGCCGACGAGAUCGAGCUCCGGCGCCGCGGGCUCCGCCUCUUCACCAACUCCCCCGGCGGCGGGGGGGGCUGGAGCGCCGGCGCGGCGUUCGCGCACCCGGCGACGCUGGACGCGGUGGCGAUGGACGCGGAGCUGAAGGCGCGCGUCCGCGCGGACCUGGAGGCGUUCCUGAAGGGCCGCGCGUACUACCACCGGCUGGGGCGCGUGUGGCGGCGCAGCUACCUCCUCUACGGCGCGCCCGGCACGGGCAAGUCCUCGUUCGCCGCCGCCAUGGCCCGGUUCCUCGGGUACGACGUCUACGACCUCGACCUCGCGCGCGCCCCCGACCCCCGCGCGCUCCUCCUCCGCACGACGCCCCGCUCCCUGAUCCUCGUGGAGGACCUCGACCGCCACCUCGCCGCGCCCGAGCCCGAGCCCGAGCCCGAGCCCGAGCGGCGGCUGACGGGGAUCCUGGGCUUCAUGGACGGGAUCUUCUCGUGCUGCGGCGACGAGAGGGUGAUGGUGUUCACGAUGAGCGGGGCCGGGGGGAAGGAGACGCUGGAUCCCGCGGUCCUCCGGCCGGGGCGCCUGGACGUGCACAUCCACUUCCCGCUCUGCGACUUCGCGGCGUUCAAGACGCUGGCGAGCAGCUACCUGGGGCUGAGGGAUCACAAACUCUACCCGCAGGUCGAGGAGGGGUUCCAGUCCGGGGCCCGCCUCAGCCCCGCCGAGGUGGGCGAGAUCAUGAUCGCCAACCGGGGAUCCCCCAGCCGGGCGAUCAAGUCCGUCAUCAGCGCCCUCCUGCAGCAGCAGCAGCAGCAGGCGUCGAAUUGCGGGCCCAGAAGCAGCACCGUGGGGCGGAGGCUCAACGAGAGCUGGUCCGCCCGGAAAUUCGAUGAGAUCGCCCACGGGGACGGAGGACCGUCGGGGCUGGGGCUCUCCGGGGAGAACACAUUGAAGGAAUUCAAGAAGCUGUAUGGCUUCCUUAAGAUUAGGAGCGGCAGCAGAAAGGAGGGCACCAUUGCGGCCGCGGCGGCGGCGACAGCAGCCAAUGGCAACAACAUGAAUGGCGUCGAUCAUAACAAGGAGUGGUGAAUUUGAAAGGAAACUUCAGAAAUUUGGAUUACUCGGGAUAUAUUCUAUUUGAACAGAGAUACAUGGGUCAGAAGAGAUGGAAAGACAGAUGAAAUACAGAGAGGAGACUAGCCAACUAAGCAUCCCGCUGCGACGUGUAGAUCGAAAUUAUUCUUAGGUUCCCCUGUUAGAAGAUGUCUCGAACAGCACCAGCGAGCUGCUAAACCACCUGUUGAGUUGGACAACCGAUGGUAUGCUGUCGAAGCAGAACUCAGCAGCCGGAUCCACAUUGAAUUUGCAUAGUAGCAGUCUAAUAUAAGGUGCUCCAUUGUUUCAGAGCUAGAGUUGCAAAGCACACAAACAGAUGGGCCGUGCCAGCCGCGUUUAGCUAGGACGUCGGCUGUCAACAUCCUCGAUUUAGUGAUUGGCCGUGCCAGCCGCGUUUAGUGAUAUACUUAGUUGGUAGCAAAAACUAAGUCAAUUAAUGAGCAGAGCUGUACUAGAUAGUGCUCAGCAUGGUGUUCCUGUGCGACGAUCAUUUUUAGCCCAUUAAGUUCCUGCUUCAUAAUUUCCAAGAUGGUCUAAUUGUAAUUCGAACUUGUGUAGUUGCACUUAGUUCUGAAUUAGAAGUUGAUUGUUUUCUAUAGCAUUUUCGACAGAAUAUUCCGUAACUUUC
Molecule: RNA transcript, 2581 nt
Organism: Ananas comosus (pineapple)
Lineage: Eukaryota; Viridiplantae; Streptophyta; Magnoliopsida; Poales; Bromeliaceae
Gene name: AAA-ATPase At2g46620-like
Exons: 3
Source: RefSeq, a predicted model, not a curated record